GCUCAGAUUGAACGCUGGCGGCAGGCCUAACACAUGCAAGUCGAGCGGUAACAGGGGUAGCUUGCUACCCGCUGACGAGCGGCGGACGGGUGAGUAACGCAUAGGAAUUUACCCGGUAGUGGGGGAUAACCUGGGGAAACCCAGGCUAAUACCGCAUACGUCCUACGGGAGAAAGGGGGCUUUGGCUCCCGCUAUCGGAUGAGCCUAUGCCGGAUUAGCUGGUUGGUGAGGUAAUGGCUCACCAAGGCGACGAUCCGUAGCUGGUCUGAGAGGAUGAUCAGCCACAUCGGGACUGAGACACGGCCCGAACUCCUACGGGAGGCAGCAGUGGGGAAUAUUGGACAAUGGGGGCAACCCUGAUCCAGCCAUGCCGCGUGUGUGAAGAAGGCCCUCGGGUUGUAAAGCACUUUCAGCGAGGAAGAACGCCUGUCGGUUAAUACCCG
RNAcentral lists this ribosomal RNA (443 nucleotides) under Vreelandella gomseomensis. RNAcentral's name for it is "bacterial SSU rRNA". It matches the Rfam family "Bacterial small subunit ribosomal RNA", at positions 22 to 467 of the family's 1533-position model. The record is from RNAcentral. Lineage: Bacteria; Pseudomonadati; Pseudomonadota; Gammaproteobacteria; Oceanospirillales; Halomonadaceae.